Molecule: ribosomal RNA, 557 nt
Filed under: uncultured Ascomycota
Lineage: Eukaryota; Fungi; Ascomycota
Description: SSU rRNA
Rfam family: Eukaryotic small subunit ribosomal RNA
Source: RNAcentral
GGAAGGGAUGUAUUUAUUAGAUUAAAAACCAAUGCCCUUCGGGGCUCUCUGGUGAUUCAUAAUAACUUCUCGAAUCGCACGGCCUUGCGCCGGCGAUGGUUCAUUCAAAUUUCUGCCCUAUCAACUUUCGACGGCUGGGUCUUGGCCAGCCAUGGUGACAACGGGUAACGGAGGGUUAGGGCUCGACCCCGGAGAAGGAGCCUGAGAAACGGCUACUACAUCCAAGGAAGGCAGCAGGCGCGCAAAUUACCCAAUCCCGACUCGGGGAGGUAGUGACAAUAAAUACUGAUACAGGGCUCUUUUGGGUCUUGUAAUUGGAAUGAGUACAAUUUAAAUCCCUUAACGAGGAACAAUUGGAGGGCAAGUCUGGUGCCAGCAGCCGCGGUAAUUCCAGCUCCAAUAGCGUAUAUUAAAGUUGUUGAGGUUAAAAAGCUCGUAGUUGAACCUUGGGCCUAGCCGGCCGGUCCGCCUCACCGCGUGCACUGGCUCGGCUGGGCCUUUCCUUCUGGAGAACCGCAUGCCCUUCACUGGGUGUGUCGGGGAACCAGGACUUUUAC